Long non-coding RNA from Felis catus (domestic cat), 5023 nucleotides. RefSeq lists it as uncharacterized. Lineage: Eukaryota; Metazoa; Chordata; Mammalia; Carnivora; Felidae. The record is from RefSeq and is a predicted model, not a curated record. The transcript has 3 exons.
GCCCCAGCACCGCCAGCACAGAGCCCGACGCGGGGCUCAAACUCACGAACUGUGAGAAUCAUGACGUAAGCUGAAAACAAGAGCUUAACUGGCUGAACCACCCAGGCGCCCCAUUACCACAUCUUCUUUAUCCAUUCAUCCAUCGAAGGACACUCAGAUUGAUUCCAUGUGUUGACUACUGUAAAUAAUGCUGCAGUGAACAUAGGGUGCAUGUCUCUUUUCAAAUUCGUUUUUUUGUUUGUUUGUUUGUUUGUUUGUUUGUUUUCUUUGGAUAAAUAUCCAGAAGUGGCAUUGCUGAAUCAUAUAGUAGUUUUACUUUUAAUUUUUGAGGAACUUCCAUGCUGUUAUUCAUAGUGGCUACACCAAUUUACAUUCCCACCCACAGUGCCCGAAGGUUCUCUUCUUCCCAUAUCCUUAUAAACACUUGUCAUUUCUUGUCUUUUUGACAAUGGCCAAUGGCCAUCCUAACAGGUAGGUGUAAGGUGAUAUCUGUUGUGGUUUUGAUCUGUACCUUCCUCGUGACUAAUAAUGCUGAGCAUUCUUUCAUGUACCUGUCGGCCAUCUGUAUGUCUUUUCUUUGGGAAAAAUGUCGAUUCGGAUCUUAUGCUCAUUUUUGUUUGCUGCUGAGUCGUAGGAGUCCCUCGUACAUUUCCGAUAUUAGCUCCUUAUAUUCGUUACCAAUUUAUUUCUGCUCUUUAAACUUAGCACAUCAUGAAUAUUUUACCAUGAUGGUAGGGAUUUUUCUGUAAUGUGAUUUUUAAUAUCUGUGUAAGGUAUUAUCACAUGGACGUAUCACACGGUGAACUUACGUGAGGGAUUGACCGUAUUUUGUUUUCCGGGUAAGACCUGUUGAAAGCUAUGCACAUCAGCCCAGCUUUCUGGGAGCAGACAAAACAACUCCCAAGAAAUUUCCCAGUUUGAAGAGCUUGGCCGUACUUACCACACGGUGAUGUUUGGGCACCACGGGCCCAUGGUUUCCAAAUUCCUGAGUGACUUUGGGUAUUUCAGUACUUUCUCCCUCUGAGGAAGCCAGGUUGUCUCCUCUCCGUUUGAUUUCUGCAGCUGGGUUCGCACAGCUUGGCCCUGUGACUGGCCAGAAGCCCUCCACUCUUCCCCACUCAGCCAUGGAACGAAGGGAAAGCCACAGACAUUUCCAGCAGAGUUCGUAGAGCCUUCGAAGGGGUUUUGCAUUUACCAAAGAGAUUCUUCGGAAUUUUGGAACGGCCAACAUGAAAUCAAUUCCUACAAGACUAACAAAUCAGGAGAGAAUGAGGAAAGAUGCCCAGAGAAAUGACCUUAGGUCAUGGCCAGGUCCUUAAAGUGCCUCCUGAAUCAUCAAAGAAAGAUUCCAUUACUGCCAAGAUGGUUAUAACGUCAGGUUCAAUUUAUUAUGUCUGGAUGCCUUGAAAAUUAAUCAUUUAAGUGAAUCAUUUAUAGGAGAAUAAAGAAGAGAUGACCUUGAAGAUCUAAAUCCAUGCUAUUUAGCCUUAAAGUCUGUAUGAGCCUCGAAGUCACUGAGUUUAGCGUCUCCAGAUGAAGAGAAUAGUUUCCAGAAAGAAAAAGACUUAUCUAAGGUAAUGUACCACCACUUGCUAAUUCUGGGUCAGCUGCCUUUCCUCCACCAGCAUUGUUAUGCCUGUUCAUCUUAUUGAUAAAACUUUGUUUCAGUUCUGGAAAAGGCGCUUUCAUUUUUUUUAAUGUUUAUUGAUUUUUGAGAGAGAGAGAGAGAGAGAGAGAGACAGAGCGUGAGUGGGCGAGCGGCAGAGGGAGACACAGAAUUUGAAGCCAGCUCCGAGUCCUGAGCUGUCGGCACGGUCUGACAUGGGGCUUGAACUCAUGAACCACGAGAUCAUGACCUGAGCUGAAGUCGGACACUCCACCAACUGAGCCACCCAGGCGUCUCUGAAAAAGACACUUUUAAAGUUAACUCCUGAAUGCAAGUAAAUAAUGAAGAUCGGUUGGGGCAGCAUUGAAAAGUGGGCACUUAACGUAAUGGUGAGUGAGCAUUGCUCGCAGUCCCAGAAAUCUACUCCCUCUCCUGUCUCUGACUUGCACUCCAAUUUUGACAAUUCGUUUCAUCUUUCUAGACCUAGGGGUCCUCAUCUAUAAACUGAGGAGCUUGUAGUAGGUCGUUGCUUCUCAACGCAUUCGUCAGAGCCCCAGACGUUCCAUGGGUGCCUUGAGCCCUGAUGGCCUGGGGAAGGGGCUGAAAGAGGGAAAAGGGGGCAGGGCUCUGGGCCCUUCCUCUGCUUCUACCUGAGCAGACCCCUUGGGUCUGUUUUAUGUAUUUGGUUUUCAUGGAAGCUUUUAUCUCAACCACAAGAUUCUGUGGUUAAAUGUGUGAGAACCACUGGACUGAACUUCUCUAGCCUUUCUUUUGGCAAAGUGUUUUUUUCUGCCUCUCUGAUUAUAGAUGUUCUUUCAGAGACUCAUUUGGACAGGCUCAAAUUUAUAUGCCGUUGAGCUCUUUGGAGUUCCUAUAAAUUAGGAUGCACAUCGAGAUAAUUACCAUUCUGGAAUUCUAAGCACUUAAAUACAAGUCAAUCCUUAUAACCCCCUUUUAAACCAAUUGCCUCACUGCAGACAUGGUCACUGAAUAUAUAUUAUCGAAUGCCAAUAAAACAGGAAACCCGAUCCUGCCAUUUUCCCGAUUGGAGCGUACAGAGGGGUUAAAGCCAGAGUCUCAGCCGUCAUUCUGACGGCAGGAUCUUGCUUCUCUGGACAGUCUAACUUUGGUUGUCAGGCCAGACCCAGGGGCAGACCCAGCGCCUUCCAUCCCGUCGGCUCUGUAGAGUCAUGGAGUGGACCAGCUUGUAAUCCCUUGCUUUUGGGAAAGAAACUGGCUUUCUUCUGUGGCCAACUGUGUCUACCAAUCGCUAAAGGAAACAAUAGACCCAGGGCAAGCACUACUCUCAAGCGGUGGCCCCGGGAGGGCGCAGGUCAGCGUCCGAGCCCGGCACUAAGGCAGCCGAGGCCAGUCAGUGGUGGAUCCCAAAAGACCACAGAGAUGGCUUCUCCAGGGCACACCUGCUCUGAAAAGGAGUAUGGGGGCCCGGGGAACCGAGGCAGAGAAUGGGUUUAGGACUCUGUAGAAUCAGAACGAACUUCAUAGAAGAGCCUUAGAAAUGUUGUGGGGAAGCACAUGGAAAAACGAAAAGCCAGACAAGUGACACUCCUUGCUCAGGUCACCCUUAGGUCACAGUAUUUCACUUCUUCCAGUCUACACCGUGAGCCCUCAGGCCUCUCUCCACAGGGGCUGGGCACGUCAAUGAGGUGACUGACAGAGGAGUGUUUCCCCGAAGGCAAGGGUGACUGACAGAGGAGUGUUUCCCCGAAGGCAAGGAGCCUUCGGGAAGGGAGGGUGAGGGGACGGCGUUUUCCCACCGGGAGCCAUUGCUCAACAGGCAACAGCCAGAACCCAGACCAAAUUCAUCACCAUGUGAGACUCUCAACCCCACCCCGGACUACUACGGACUCCAGAGAAUAGCCAGUGUGUGCGCGAAUUCCCUCCUGCCUCCCUUGGCUGUCCGCCUGAGCCAGUCUGUGCCCGUUAAGUUCAUCUUCAGUUAAAACUGUGACCACACCCCGAACCCUCAGUCCUUGGGCCACCUCUGUACUGAAGCGCUUGCUGUGCGUAUCCGGGAUGGAGCAUCCUGCCCUUUCUGAGGUUGACAGGCUGUGACGAUUCUGAUAGGGACCGGGAAGUCACACAUAUCAUUUACUUCCGUAAAUAGUCAUCCCAUUAAUAAGCAUCCACCGAGAGAAGACGGUUCCUUUGCAGACUCCCAGGCCACAGGCUUCGGUUUCCGGAAAAUGCAGAUCGGGACAGCAGAUGAAAUAAAGCCAUCACCAGCCCACAGGACAGUCUCAAGAGGAGUGACUGUCCCUGUCCUCUGCAGUUGUUGCCAGAGAGCAAUUUGCCCUUGAAUCCAAUCUACCAUCCCUAAACUGACAAUUUCAUUUCCCUCCCAGCCCACCCCCUGCCCCGAAGAUCUGCUGAAGCCGCGAGUUCCAGCUGAAGAGCCGGCAAGAUAAUAGUGACUUUCACACUUCAUCUGCCCGUUAUCGCUGAACCCCCGAACCCCGCUUUGCGAGGGUAAGAUGUCAUUGAAAGGAAUGUAGCACAAUCUACUGUUGCAGGAAGGAACGACCACAAAGCACGUGGUUUGUGUGAUGUCUAACGGAUGUCAGGAACUGCUCCAAGAUACAAAAUACUCUUCAGUGCUUCCCUGAGUUUGCUGUGGGCCUCGGGGUACCUCAAGCCACAGUUCGGGAAUCGUGGGCUUAAACACAGAAGGUCCAGAAUUAGGGACCUACUGAUAACGCCAAAGGGGCAGCUUCUUAAGAUUUCCAUCUUCCUAACAAGGGCAUUCAGAUUUCAAAUGUUUAGGCGACUCCGAAGUUGAGUAAUUCAGAAUCUGUGUAGUUAAGCUAACUUGUUGAAACCGAUGAAUUUUAAGGAACCACUUGGGUUCUCUUUCCUGGGUAACAGAUGAGAAGCAACGAGAUCUCCUCCCUUCAGCCUCAGGGAUGCUGGAGCUAUGAGUUGCAGGGUGUCUUCAAGACAUUGACACUUGCCUUGGAGAGUCAUUCGUGGAGAUCGAGGGAAUGACAUAAUACGCAGGGAACGCAUCUAUGCCACCAGAGUUUCCCAUGUCAGCCCACGCUGGUCAAGAAAGGCAGAGAAUAGUUUCAUUCCAAGCUUAAGCCAAUAUUCUUGCCACUACACCAGGGCGCUGCCCAAUAUGACGGGAAAUAUUACACGAAUGGUAAAAAUGUGAGCUAAGCCCACCCCAUCUCCAAACCCAAAAAGCUUCCGAGACCCCUGAAGUUAAAUGGAACUAACUCAUCGACACGGUCUCCAAAGCAACUUCUUAUUUAGUUCAGAACUUUCUGUGUGACCCCAAUCAGGUAAAUUUCUAGCUCUUUGUUUCCUUAAAUAGAGCACUGUAGAAGAAGAAGUCACUGUUUUUCUCUAAAGCUACUUAGCAAAUUGCAAAUGAAAGAGAAAAUACACAUGCAA